This is a long non-coding RNA of Cyprinus carpio (common carp), 1325 nucleotides long. Lineage: Eukaryota; Metazoa; Chordata; Actinopteri; Cypriniformes; Cyprinidae. The record is from Ensembl.
GAACACUAGUCAGUAUUUGUUAAAUAUGUAAAUGCCAGUUACUCUGCUGAAAGACUCUAGCAGUUUAAAGACGUGACUGUAAACCUUCUCUGGGUUGCACUCUCUCUCUCUCUCUCUCUAGCGCAGCGCUCAGGAAUGCAGCGAUGGCAAAGAAUCAAUGAAUCAUUUCUCCUGUCUGCAGGAGCGGCUCUUAAGACCAGCACCAGUCCUUAAACCAAACCAAACUAACUCACAUCCUGGUCUUUGUGCUCAAACGCUGAGCUAAUAAUAGACUCGCCUGGAAUCUCUCUGUCUCUCUCUCUCUCUCUCUCUCUCUCUCUCAGGUCGACCAUCCUGAACCAAUCCGGGUUAGCGGGGAAUGUUCUCUGGAAUGACAAUUAAAUGAAACAAAGACGAACUGGUGCAGUGAACCCGGGACAAAUGAGAAGGUGUGUUUGAAAUGAACUUCCUGAACUGCUGCACAUCUACAAAUACUCUUCAUGAAUGAGUUCAGAGCUGCUGAAACUCGUGACGGGAGGAAUUCAACAUCCAUCGCUCAGCCCUGAAUUCAAGACUGAGUAUGAACCGCAAACCCAGAGACAUAAACCACACAGAAAGAGAUGGACAGGAGGAGAAGAGAUGAUGUGAUGAAGUGAAAAACUGAAACGAUUAUCCACUAAUACACACACACACACACACACACACACACACUUACAGAUAUUAUUUACUAUUAAACAUGUUCAGGGUUCAAACCGAAACUCAUUCAUAAUCCAGUGCUGGUGAAGCUGCUUCCAAACUUUAGGUUUGUUUCUUCGUUUUAAUUGUGUCUGUAUUGACAGAAGGAUCAGGACAGUGCUGAUGAAGUCAAGCUGCUCCUCUGAAAAAGCAGGCGGGUUCACACCGAGAGAAGCUCAUUUAUCGUGAUCUCGUUCUGCUCGGCUGCACUGAGGGUGUUUCAUUCCUGCUCUCCCAUUUAAAGACAUGCACGCUUCCAGCUAUUGUGGAACAGGAUACGAGAGCUGCUCCCAAACUUCCUGCUUUCCAUGACAUCUGGCACAGACGCUGCCACACAGUGAACCAGCUGAUCCGGCGAUCGCUGUCCAAACCUCCACAAACACGUGUGAGUCUCACCAGAUUGUGGAUUAUUGUGAUGUUUUUAUCAGCUGUUUGGACUCUCAUUCUGACGGCACCCAUUCACUGCAGAGCAUCCAUUGAUGAGACACUGAUGCAAUGCUACAUUUUUUUAUAUUUUUGAUUGGUAGAUUUUUUUUAUUGAAUAUUAAUUGUCAUUUGAACCUCAUCUGAGAAAGCCAAAGGUGACAGAAUAAAAGCUCCCUAUUUAAUCA